GACGAACGCUGGCGGCGUGCUUAACACAUGCAAGUCGAACGGAAAGGCCCUGCUUUUGUGGGGUGCUCGAGUGGCGAACGGGUGAGUAACACGUGAGUAACCUGCCCUUGACUUUGGGAUAACUUCAGGAAACUGGGGCUAAUACCGGAUAGGAGCUCCUGCUGCAUGGUGGGGGUUGGAAAGUUUCGGCGGUUGGGGAUGGACUCGCGGCUUAUCAGCUUGUUGGUGGGGUAGUGGCUUGCCAAGGCUUUGACGGGUAGCCGGCCUGAGAGGGUUAACGGCCACAUUGGGACUGAGGUACGGCCCAGACUCCUACGGGAGGCAGCAGUGGGGAAUAUUGCACAAUGGGCGGAAGCCUGAUGCAGCAACGCCGCGUGCGGGAUGACGGCCUUCGGGUUGUAAACCGCUUUCGCCUGUGACGAAGCGUGAGUGACGGUAAUGGGUAAAGAAGCACCGGCUAACUACGUG
Molecule: ribosomal RNA, 468 nt
Filed under: uncultured bacterium
Lineage: Bacteria
Description: partial 16S ribosomal RNA
Rfam family: Bacterial small subunit ribosomal RNA
Source: RNAcentral